UCCUGUAUCAAUAUUUAACAUCAGGUCAUUUGUUAUUUUCCUAUAAAAUAAUUUCUCACUUGAGCCAAUGUUUGUGAUUUACACAUGUUAUAUUUUACUAGGGAUAUAGUUAUUUUCAAUACUCUUGUCCUUUAGCCUCAAUACUAGAGUUACUUUGUUAAUAGACUAUCAUGUUAUAGUAUUAGAGUAUUCUGGAUUUGACUGCAUACUUGCCUUAACCAGUGUGUUGUAUAUUUAAAUUUAUUUUAUGUCACUAAUGAGCAUCCUUUCAUUUCAGUUUGAGGACUUCUUUCAGCAUUUCUUAUGAGGCCGGACUAGUGGUGAUGAACUCCGUCAGGUUUGCUUUGUCUGGGAAAGUUUUUAUUUCUCCUUCAUUUCUGAAAGACAACUUUUCUGGAUAGAGUACUCUUGGUUGGCAGUUUUUUUUCUCCUAGCACUUUGAGUAUGUCCAUGGAUGGAGGCCAAAUUGCUGUUGGUGGCAGGAGAACUAAUGAGGUGCCUGUUUUUCAGCCAUGAUGCUCAUGUCACCCUGUCAUGUGGGUGGUUUAAAAGUAAACUCCCCCGACUCUGGCCAAAUAUUUCCUUGAUUUCUUCUUUCAUGGUAUAUGUACCUCAUGUCAUUUAGCAUAUCAUCUAAAUUGUUACUUUUUUCUUUGAAUUCUCUUUUUAAUUUAUUUUUGGCUGCAUUGCUUCUUGCUGCUGCAGAGCUUGGGCUUCUCAUUGUGGUGGCUUCUCUUGAUGCUGAGCAUGGGCUCUAGGGUGCUGGCUUCAGUAGUUGUGGAGCAUGGGUUUAGUUGCACUGUGGCAUGUAGGAUCUUCCCUGACAAGGAAUUGAACUGCCACCCCCUGUAUUGGACUCCUAAGCACUGGACCAGCAGGAAAAUCCCUAAAUUCACCAUUAGUAUAUUUAGAAGCAAAACAAAAAAUGUAGUGUAAAUCUAUAGUGUAAAUCUCCAGGUGUUCAGUGUAGCCCUUGAGGUUCUUCCCAAUGUCUUUCCAGAUGCAUCUCUCUGCUUUCUUCCUUGUAUUUUGUGCUCUUCCAGGUUCCUCGGAAACAACCUAGAUGCCCUGUGCCUGAUGUUUGUGCUCACAUUCGAAUCUCCAAGUAGAAUGAUUCUCUCCCUUUUCUGUUUCUCAUGACGUCCUCUCUUCACUUCUUCUGUAAAUCCUUCCUUCUUCCACUUAUGACUUUAAUAUGUCAACUGUUACAUAUCAUAUUGUAUCAUAAUUGUAUAUUUGUGUUUGAAGGAAGAAUUUGUUUCUUGCGUAUGGUUGGUACUUCAUAACUGUUUUGAGAGUUAAUCAAUGACUUAAGAUGGGUAAGACUUGGAAUUUUGCAAGAAUUUUUUUUUAUUCUAUAUCAGUUGAAUUAUUAGAAAACAUUGGCUUUUUUGUGGAUUUUUUAAAAGUAGCGAUCCUGGCGUGCACAGGAAGAAAGUAAAGGAAAAGAACAAUGAUAAACAGACACCAGAAGACUGUGUGAUUGCACCAGUAUUUGAAAAGGCCAAUUCACUGACUGGUGGGCUGCUGCUCGUGAAUGACGACAACAAAGUGGAUGAAGAUGAUGACAGGCCUGCAAGAAUACCACCGUAUGAAAAGAAGAAGGUCAAAGAACAAAUUGAUUACGUGAACCACCUGGAUGAUUUACCUCAGUUGUCUGAGAAUGUUUCUGAGGAUGGUGACGUGCUUUACUCUACGAAUUCCAUGUUGCAAGUAGAACCACUUGGCUUGGGGUGUAAAGAUUCUGUUAGCUUGUUGAAAAUCCGGGAUACAAUUCUUUCGUAUGAAAGAUUAGUAGCAGUUAACAAAAGCCACUGUGAACUGCUUAGAGGAAAGAUUAAAAAAAUGGAAAGUAAGGUUAGUGGGCUACAGAAAGAGCUGUCAGAAACAAAAGAAGUGAAAUCACAGUUAGAGCAUCAGAAAGUGGACUGGGAACGAGAGUUCAGCAGGUUGAGGUUCACCUUAAAACAAGAGGAAGAGAAUAGAAGAAAUGCCAAUAUGUUAUAUGAAAAAAUGAGGGCGCAGUUAAGAAGAAAAGAAGACAAAUACAGUAAAGAAGUUGUAGUGACACAGCGACUAGCACUCACUCUCCGAGCACUGGAAAUGAAACUGAAGACGGAGAGAAGUCAUCUGAGUCAGGUUUCUGAUAGUUGUGAAGACACAAAAGCCCUGUUGCUCAAAAACCACAUGCUGCAGGAUGAAAUAGCCAUGCUAAGACUGGAGAUAGAUGCAAUGAAAAAUCAGCACCGGGCAAAGGAAGAGAACUAUUUUGAGGACAUUGAAAUUCUCAAAGUAAAGAACGAUAAUCUUCAAAAGGAAGUAAAACUGACUGAGGAAACGUUAACACAGACUAUAUCCCACUGUACAGGCCAGCUUAAUGCUCUGACAGCUGAGAAUACAAUGCUAAACUCAAAGCUGGAGAACAAAAAAGACAGCAAACAAAGACUGGAAACGGAAGUGAAAUCCUACCGUUCUAGACUGGCUGCUGCCUUACACGAUCAUGAUCAAGGUCAGACAUCAAAAAGAGACCUGGAACUUGCCUUCCAGAGAGCAAAAGAAGAGUGGUUAUGCUUGCAGGACAAAAUGGAGUCCGAUGUGGCUCAUCUAAAAGAGAACAAUGAGAUGCUUUCCCAGCAACUGUCUGCAGCGGAAAGUGAAUUCAAUAAGCUGAAAAUCAAGCUGCAUCACACGAGAGAUGAUCUCAGAGAAAAGACUUUGACAUUAGAACGUGCCCAGAGAGACCUAAGCCAAGCAGAGUGUCAAAAGCAGGAAAUUGAACACAUGUAUCAGAAUGAACAAGGCAAAGUGAGUAAAUAUAUUAGAAAGCAGGAAUCCUUAGAGGAGAGAUUAUCUCAACUCCAGAGUGAAAACAUGUUGCUCCGACAGCAACUGGAUGAUGCACAAAAGAGAGCCGACAGUAAAGAGAAGACGGUCAUUAGCAUCCAAGACCAGUUUCAGCAGAUCGUGAGAAAACUUCAGGCUGAACGUGAGAAACAAGGUCUGAUGCUGGAGGAAAGAAAUGAGGAGUUAAUCAACAAGUGUAAUCAUUUAAGAGAGAGAAUGCAUCAGUACAAAAAUGAGAAAGCAGAAGGAGAAGCACUUGUGAGACAACUUCAACAAGAACUGGAUGACACCGUAAAAACGCCGUCUAUGUCGGAUGCUUCGCUGAAAGGCAUGUCAUGGUGUCGUGCUAUCUUAGAAGCUGAGGCACAGGAUUUAAAGAACAAAUUUAAACUACAACUAUGUCAACUCACAAGUCAGACACAAGCUGGAUCUCAACAGAUGGACCUCAGAAUUAAAGACUUGGAAUCUGAAGUCCUCAAAAUGAAAACUUUGCAAGAAGAUUCCAAUAAAGCAGGGUUGGAAAAAUAUAAGCAACUCUACCUAGAAGAAUGUGAAGUGAGAAAGGCAUUGGAAGAUAAACUAGACAAGACUCAUGAGAGGCUGGCAGAGAUCAACACCAAACUUGAAGUGGAGAAGCAGCAGAACAGAUCUUUACUCAGCACUCUUAGCAGCAUGCCAGUCCUGGAGCCUCCUUGUGUUGGAAAUUUCAAUAAUCCUUUAGUGCUCCAUGAAAGUCUUACUCCACGAGCAAAUGUAGGGUUUUCUACCUCAAUUCCACGCCGUUCAGAUGACAGCAUGGAGACUUACUUGACCAAGAUGCGGCGGGAGUUGGACAGGAGUAUAGCUAGAGGAAUAAGAGAAGAGUGAAGACGGUGUGUGGAGUGAAGGGACAGGCAGACAUGCUUCACAAUUCCUGUGUUCCAAGAACAGAGAUGCUCCACCAGCUCACUCUCCAACCUUGUUUCCCAGCAGCUGCCAGUGCUGCAUACAGGGAGGACACAGGGCUCCCGCGAGGUGGAGGGGUUGCCUGAGAUCAUAAGGCAAGUUAUUAAUG
Cervus elaphus (red deer) is the source of this 3898-nucleotide RNA transcript. It is a transcript of the gene named ankyrin repeat domain-containing protein 26-like, with no coding region annotated. The record is from RefSeq and is a predicted model, not a curated record. The transcript has 12 exons. NCBI's taxonomy places the organism in Eukaryota, Metazoa, Chordata, Mammalia, Artiodactyla, Cervidae.